This 424-nucleotide ribosomal RNA is filed under the name uncultured bacterium. Its description in RNAcentral is "partial 16S ribosomal RNA". It matches the Rfam family "Bacterial small subunit ribosomal RNA", at positions 360 to 776 of the family's 1533-position model. The record is from RNAcentral.
AAUAUUGGACAAUGGGCGGAAGCCUGAUCCAGCGAUGCCGCGUGUGUGAAGAAGGUUUUCGGAUGGUAAAGCACUUUAAUUUGGGAGGAAGGGUUUACACCUAAUACGUGUGAAGUUUGACGUUACUAUAAGAAUACGCACCGGCUAACUUCGUGCUAGCAGCCGCGGUAAUACGAAGGGUGCAAGCGUUAAUCGGAAUUACUGGGCGUAAAGCGCGCGUAGGUGGUUCGUUAAGUUGGAAGUGAAAGCCCCGGGCUCAACCUGGGAAUUGCUUUCAAAACUGGCGAGAUAGAGUACGGUAGAGGGUGGUGGAAUUUCCUGUGUAGCGGUGAAAUGCGUAGAUAUAGGAAGGAACAUCAGUGGCGAAGGCGACCACCUGGACUGAUACUGACACUGAGGUGCGAAAGCGUGGGGAGCAAACAGG